This 1372-nucleotide ribosomal RNA is filed under the name uncultured bacterium. RNAcentral describes it as "bacterial SSU rRNA". It matches the Rfam family "Bacterial small subunit ribosomal RNA", at positions 28 to 1381 of the family's 1533-position model. The record is from RNAcentral.
GAUGAACGCUGGCGGCGUGCCUAAUACAUGCAAGUCGAGCGAACGGACGAGAAGCUUGCUUCUCUGAUGUUAGCGGCGGACGGGUGAGUAACACGUGGAUAACCUACCUAUAAGACUGGGAUAACUUCGGGAAACCGGAGCUAAUACCGGAUAAUAUUUUGAACCGCAUGGUUCAAAAGUGAAAGACGGUCUUGCUGUCACUUAUAGAUGGAUCCGCGCUGCAUUAGCUAGUUGGUAAGGUAACGGCUUACCAAGGCAACGAUGCAUAGCCGACCUGAGAGGGUGAUCGGCCACACUGGAACUGAGACACGGUCCAGACUCCUACGGGAGGCAGCAGUAGGGAAUCUUCCGCAAUGGGCGAAAGCCUGACGGAGCAACGCCGCGUGAGUGAUGAAGGUCUUCGGAUCGUAAAACUCUGUUAUUAGGGAAGAACAUAUGUGUAAGUAACUGUGCACAUCUUGACGGUACCUAAUCAGAAAGCCACGGCUAACUACGUGCCAGCAGCCGCGGUAAUACGUAGGUGGCAAGCGUUAUCCGGAAUUAUUGGGCGUAAAGCGCGCGUAGGCGGUUUUUUAAGUCCGAUGUGAAAGCCCACGGCUCAACCGUGGAGGGUCAUUGGAAACUGGAAAACUUGAGUGCAGAAGAGGAAAGUGGAAUUCCAUGUGUAGCGGUGAAAUGCGCAGAGAUAUGGAGGAACACCAGUGGCGAAGGCGACUUUCUGGUCUGUAACUGACGCUGAUGUGCGAAAGCGUGGGGAUCAAACAGGAUUAGAUACCCUGGUAGUCCACGCCGUAAACGAUGAGUGCUAAGUGUUAGGGGGUUUCCGCCCCUUAGUGCUGCAGCUAACGCAUUAAGCACUCCGCCUGGGGAGUACGACCGCAAGGUUGAAACUCAAAGGAAUUGACGGGGACCCGCACAAGCGGUGGAGCAUGUGGUUUAAUUCGAAGCAACGCGAAGAACCUUACCAAAUCUUGACAUCCUUUGACAACUCUAGAGAUAGAGCCUUCCCCUUCGGGGGACAAAGUGACAGGUGGUGCAUGGUUGUCGUCAGCUCGUGUCGUGAGAUGUUGGGUUAAGUCCCGCAACGAGCGCAACCCUUAAGCUUAGUUGCCAUCAUUAAGUUGGGCACCCUAAGUUGACUGCCGGUGACAAACCGGAGGAAGGUGGGGAUGACGUCAAAUCAUCAUGCCCCUUAUGAUUUGGGCUACACACGUGCUACAAUGGACAAUACAAAGGGCAGCGAAACCGCGAGGUCAAGCAAAUCCCAUAAAGUUGUUCUCAGUUCGGAUUGUAGUCUGCAACUCGACUACAUGAAGCUGGAAUCGCUAGUAAUCGUAGAUCAGCAUGCUACGGUGAAUACGUUCCCGGGUCU